Micropterus dolomieu (smallmouth bass) is the source of this 350-nucleotide long non-coding RNA. RefSeq lists it as uncharacterized. The record is from RefSeq and is a predicted model, not a curated record. Lineage: Eukaryota; Metazoa; Chordata; Actinopteri; Centrarchiformes; Centrarchidae. The transcript is spliced from 3 exons.
CCACAGACCACCACAGGAAAAGAAAACAAAGGAAGCAACCUCCAACUGUCACAGGACCAACUGUGACAUCUGUCUUGUAACUGGAUUGGUAACUACAAAAAGUCCAAAGCUGCUUCUGAGCCCUGGCAGUCAAAGCCCAAAAUACACACAAGAGAACUGUCACCAUACAAUCUUUUAUGUAGGGACAUUCUCAGAAACAAAGGCACAAUGAACGAUAUUAAGGGCAAGUGGUCCACAUUAGGGAAAGACGAGAAGCAGAAAUACUUUCAAGAGGCAGAAGCACUGAGGGCAUACGGGCAGGCACAGGACAUUAGCCCUGAGAUGAGGGAGCUCAAAAUUAAAAAGCAUCU